UGUAGCCAUUGAUCGUAAAGGUAAGCCUUUCUCAAUAGUACUUGCAGACUUGAUGUAUCUCCAACCAUUAACAUGUACUAUGAUUUCUCUUUUUUUUUUUGCUAGGUAUACUAUGAUUUCUCGUUGUAUGUAGAUCUCACUUGAGGUGAAGACAGAGUGAAGAAAGAAAAAUGACUACACUUUUUCUUACAUUCGAAUAUCCAUGUAUCAAGUGUCCUCUUUAAUUAAUAUUUUCAUAACUAAUGGUUUAAUUCAAUGACGGACCUACAGCUGGGCUAAAGGGGGCUUUAACCCGGACUAACCCAUUCAUGGCCGUGGGACCUUUUGAAUGCAUAUGUGGGUUUUCAAAAAACUAUCACCAACAUCCAGCUUCUUCAUAAUCCAGGCACAUAAACCAGACUCUAAACUUCUGCCUUAGGGGGUCAAGGUUGCAGAUUUUCCUCUAGGGUUCUGCUACUAAUCAUGUUGGUAACGACCCAUUUGAGGCCAGACUCUAAUCUGGUAGCUGUGUUAAUGCCUUACUGGUAACACUCUUUUGGAAUCAUGUGCAUUGACAGUGAUUAA
Papaver somniferum (opium poppy) is the source of this 564-nucleotide long non-coding RNA. RefSeq lists it as uncharacterized. The transcript has 3 exons. The record is from RefSeq and is a predicted model, not a curated record. NCBI's taxonomy places the organism in Eukaryota, Viridiplantae, Streptophyta, Magnoliopsida, Ranunculales, Papaveraceae.